This 422-nucleotide ribosomal RNA is filed under the name Staphylococcus aureus. Its description in RNAcentral is "bacterial SSU rRNA". It matches the Rfam family "Bacterial small subunit ribosomal RNA", at positions 1 to 412 of the family's 1533-position model. Lineage: Bacteria; Bacillati; Bacillota; Bacilli; Caryophanales; Staphylococcaceae. The record is from RNAcentral.
UUUAUGGAGAGUUUGAUCCUGGCUCAGGAUGAACGCUGGCGGCGUGCCUAAUACAUGCAAGUCGAGCGAACGGACGAGAAGCUUGCUUCUCUGAUGUUAGCGGCGGACGGGUGAGUAACACGUGGAUAACCUACCUAUAAGACUGGGAUAACUUCGGGAAACCGGAGCUAAUACCGGAUAAUAUUUUGAACCGCAUGGUUCAAAAGUGAAAGACGGUCUUGCUGUCACUUAUAGAUGGAUCCGCGCUGCAUUAGCUAGUUGGUAAGGUAACGGCUUACCAAGGCAACGAUGCAUAGCCGACCUGAGAGGGUGAUCGGCCACACUGGAACUGAGACACGGUCCAGACUCCUACGGGAGGCAGCAGUAGGGAAUCUUCCGCAAUGGGCGAAAGCCUGACGGAGCAACGCCGCGUGAGUGAUGAA